GCGUGGGGGCGUGCUAUACAUGCAAGUCGAGCGCGGGAAGCGAGUGGAUCCCUUCGGGGUGAAGCUCGUGGAACGAGCGGCGGACGGGUGAGUAACACGUGGGCAACCUGCCUGUAAGAUCGGAAUAACUCCGGGAAACCGGGGCUAAUGCCGGGUAAUACUUUCUUUCGCAUGAAGGAAAGUUGAAAGAUGGCUUCUUGCUAUCACUUACAGAUGGGCCCGCGGCGCAUUAGCUAGUUGGUGAGGUAACGGCUCACCAAGGCGACGAUGCGUAGCCGACCUGAGAGGGUGAUCGGCCACACUGGGACUGAGACACGGCCCAGACUCCUACGGGAGGCAGCAGUAGGGAAUCUUCCGCAAUGGACGAAAGUCUGACGGAGCAACGCCGCGUGAACGAUGAAGGUCUUCGGAUCGUAAAGUUCUGUUGUUAGGGAAGAACAAGUACCGUGCGAAUAGAGCGGUACCUUGACGGUACCUAACGAGGAAGCCCCGGCUAACUACGUGCCAGCAGCCGCGGUAAUACGUAGGGGGCAAGCGUUGUCCGGAAUUAUUGGGCGUAAAGCGCGCGCAGGCGGUUCCUUAAGUCUGAUGUGAAAGCCCACGGCUCAACCGUGGAGGGUCAUUGGAAACUGGGGAACUUGAGGACAGAAGAGGAGAGUGGAAUUCCACGUGUAGCGGUGAAAUGCGUAGAUAUGUGGAGGAACACCAGUGGCGAAGGCGACUCUCUGGUCUGUUUCUGACGCUGAGGUGCGAAAGCGUGGGUAGCAAACAGGAUUAGAUACCCUGGUAGUCCACGCCGU
This 800-nucleotide ribosomal RNA is filed under the name Halobacillus sp. JSM 102044. RNAcentral describes it as "bacterial SSU rRNA". It matches the Rfam family "Bacterial small subunit ribosomal RNA", at positions 35 to 803 of the family's 1533-position model. The record is from RNAcentral. Lineage: Bacteria; Bacillati; Bacillota; Bacilli; Caryophanales; Bacillaceae.